GCCCCGAUAGCUCAGCGGUAGAGCGGUGGACUCGUAAUCCACAGGCCCGGGUUCAAAUCCCGGUCGGGGCU
Molecule: transfer RNA, 71 nt
Organism: Candidatus Nanopusillus sp.
Lineage: Archaea; Nanobdellati; Nanobdellota; Candidatus Nanoarchaeia; Nanoarchaeales; Nanopusillaceae
Rfam family: tRNA
About the family: Transfer RNA (tRNA) molecules are approximately 80 nucleotides in length.
Source: Rfam